AUUGAACGCUGGCGGCAUGAUUUACACAUGCAAGUCGAACGGUAACAGGCCGCAAGGUGCUGACGAGUGGCGCACGGGUGAGUAAUGCAUCGGAACGUGCCCAGUCGUGGGGGAUAACUACUCGAAAGAGUAGCUAAUACCGCAUACGAUCUAUGGAUGAAAGCGGGGGACCGUAAGGCCUCGCGCGAUUGGAGCGGCCGAUGUCAGAUUAGGUAGUUGGUGGGGUAAAGGCUCACCAAGCCAACGAUCUGUAGCUGGUCUGAGAGGACGACCAGCCACACUGGGACUGAGACACGGCCCAGACUCCUACGGGAGGCAGCAGUGGGGAAUUUUGGACAAAGGGCGCAAGCCUGAUCCAGCAAUGCCGCGUGCAGGAAGAAGGCCUUCGGGUUGUAAACUGCUUUUGUACGGAACGAAACGGCUCUGGUUAAUACCCGGGGCUAAUGACGGUACCGUAAGAAUAAGCACUGGCUAACUACGUG
This 482-nucleotide ribosomal RNA is filed under the name uncultured bacterium. RNAcentral describes it as "partial 16S ribosomal RNA". It matches the Rfam family "Bacterial small subunit ribosomal RNA", at positions 30 to 507 of the family's 1533-position model. The record is from RNAcentral.